CCUACGGGAGGCAGCAGUAAGGAAUAUUGGUCAAUGGAGGCAACUCUGAACCAGCCAUGCCGCGUGCAGGAUGAAGGCCCUAUGGGUCGUAAACUGCUUUUACACAAGGGAAAACCCGGUACGUGUACCGGGUUGAUAGUAUUGUGAGAAUAAGCAUCGGCUAACUUCGUGCCAGCAGCCGCGGUAAGACGAAGGAUGCAAGCGUUAUCCGGAUUCAUUGGGUUUAAAGGGUGCGUAGGCGGACUUGUAAGUCAGUGGUGAAAUCUCUUUGCUUAACAAAGAAACUGCCAUUGAUACUGCAGGUCUAGAGUAUAGAUGGCGUUGGCGGAAUAUGACAUGUAGUGGUGAAAUACUUAGAUAUGUCAUAGAACACCGAUUGCGAAGGCAGCUAACGAAACUAUAACUGACGCUGAGGCACGAAAGUGCGGGGAUCAAACAGGAUUAGAUACCCUGGUAGUCCGCGCCGUAAACGAUGAUUACUCGUUGUUGGCAAUAUGACCGUCAGCGACCAAGCGAAAGCGAUAAGUAAUCCACCUGGGGAGUACGCCGGCAACGGUGAAACGUCAAAGAGAGUAGAGNGNGAGAGACGACGACGACGACGACGGAGGGAGGAGG
RNAcentral lists this ribosomal RNA (615 nucleotides) under uncultured bacterium. RNAcentral's name for it is "bacterial SSU rRNA". It matches the Rfam family "Bacterial small subunit ribosomal RNA", at positions 338 to 951 of the family's 1533-position model. The record is from RNAcentral.